UACGUAGGUGGCAAGCGUUGUCCGGAUUUACUGGGCGUAAAGGGUGCGUAGGCGGACAUUUAAGUCAGAUGUGAAAUACCCGAGCUUAACUUGGGUGCUGCAUUUGAAGCUGGGUGUCUAGAGUGCAGGAGAGGUAAGUGGAAUUCCUAGUGUAGCGGUGAAAUGCGUAGAGAUUAGGAAGAACACCAGUGGCGAAGGCGACUUACUGGACUGUAACUGACGCUGAGGCAUGAAAGCGUGGGGAGCAAACAGG
This 253-nucleotide ribosomal RNA is filed under the name uncultured bacterium. RNAcentral describes it as "partial 16S ribosomal RNA". It matches the Rfam family "Bacterial small subunit ribosomal RNA", at positions 524 to 776 of the family's 1533-position model. The record is from RNAcentral.